Cheilinus undulatus (humphead wrasse) is the source of this 507-nucleotide long non-coding RNA. RefSeq lists it as uncharacterized. NCBI's taxonomy places the organism in Eukaryota, Metazoa, Chordata, Actinopteri, Labriformes, Labridae. The record is from RefSeq and is a predicted model, not a curated record. The transcript has 4 exons.
GAGCGGACAACUUUGCGGGAAGUUUAAAGACGGCUAGAGAGUCCUUCGCGAUCCGAUAAAAGAGCUGAGGUCCGUGUUGGUAGUGUGCCCACCAGACAUUUAUACAGCCAACUUCUACAGAUCAACGUUCUAGAAAUGACGAAGACAGGAAAACCAGAUGAAUACUGGGCAGGUGUCUUAUCCCUGUAUGCCCAAGGCAAAUACCGGUUUUCAACAGGCAAGAAGCCAGGGGCCAAGAGGUGGAAAGCUGUCAUUCAGCGCAUUGACGCUUGUCCAUUAACUCCUGUUUUCAACCAGAGAGUCCGUGAAUAUGACAUCUUUGGUAAAAGAAUUCCUUGCAGGUGUGGAUAUCAUAGGAGGAGAGUUGUGACCUGUGUGGGAAAAAGGUCAGUGGUGCAAUUGGGCUGCUUCUCCACAUUGAAGAAGGCCAUCUUGUGGAAAGCAGUGUGUGUAAUGCUUCACAAGAGCAACUACCACUAUCACCAGUACAACAUUCACAACAUCCAC